RNAcentral lists this long non-coding RNA (211 nucleotides) under Elaeis guineensis (African oil palm). RNAcentral describes it as "long non-coding RNA (EGUI_LNC051032)". The record is from RNAcentral. Lineage: Eukaryota; Viridiplantae; Streptophyta; Magnoliopsida; Arecales; Arecaceae.
CAACCGCUUGAGCUAGAGUAGUGGGUUGUUGGUGAUUGAUUAUAGAGCUAGCUGUCCAUACAGUUAUAAUCGAAUGCCAACUCAGAAUAAUCUGCUCUCAUAGCUUCUGCACUAAUUAGAUCAAUAAAACACCGACGAUGUACACCUCAUCCAAUUGUCGACCUCUUAUGAUCAACUACCAACCGAUGACAUCAAUGCUGUGCAGAACAUA